UUGGGGACUUAUCGGGGAAUAACUUCCCCUCAAGAAAGCUUUUUACUUACUGGGGAACGAUUUUCCCCAAGGAGGCGUCGGGAUUUUUAUUUUUUUCGCCUUCUUGCUCAGUUGUCACUCUCCACCGGCGAACGAAACGGAACCCUAGCCUUGGCCCUCCUCUCUUUCCUUCUCCAAAAAGAGCACCUCAGAACCCUAAUCGUAGCCCGCUAAACCCUAAUCGUUAUCGCAGGAGAGAGAGGAAAAAGAAAUCAGAAAAAGAUGCCGAAUUUGGAAUGCCGGAUGUACGAGGCCAAGUACCCGGAGGUCGACAUGGCGGUGAUGAUCCAAGUGAAGAACAUCGCGGACAUGGGGGCGUACGUCUCCCUUCUGGAGUACAACAACAUCGAGGGCAUGAUCCUCUUCUCCGAGCUCUCCCGCCGCCGCAUCCGCAGCGUCUCCAGUCUCAUCAAGGUCGGCCGCCAGGAGCCCGUCAUGGUUCUCCGCGUCGACCGCGAAAAGGGCUAUAUCGACCUCAGCAAGCGCCGCGUCUCUGAGGAGGACAUUCACGCCUGUGAGGAGCGCUACAACAAGUCCAAGCUCGUCCACUCCAUCAUGCGCCACGUCGCCGAGACCAUGGACGUCGACCUCGAGGACCUCUACAUCCACGUAGGCUGGCCCCUCUACCGCAAGUAUGGCCACGCCUUCGAGGCGUUCAAGUUAAUUGUGACGGACCCUGAUUCGGUUCUUGAUUCCCUUACCCGAGAAGAGAAGGAAGUCGGUCCGGAUGGGCAGGAGGUGACUAAGGUGGUGCCGGCAAUGACGCCAGAGGUUAAGGAUGCUCUGGUCAAGAACAUUAGGAGAAGGAUGACCCCGCAGCCAUUGAAGAUACGAGCUGAUAUUGAGAUGAAAUGCUUCCAGUUUGACGGGGUUCUUCACAUUAAGGAAGCUAUGAAGAAAGCAGAAGCUGCAGGCAAUGAUGACUGUCCGGUGAAGAUAAAACUGGUUGCUCCUCCACUCUAUGUUCUCACCACUCAAACUCUUGACAAGGUUGAUUUUUUCUUAGAACUUCAAUACCAUCUGGUUCGAGGUUUAUGAUCCAAAAGGGUAAGGAAAACCUGGUGGGAGAACAUAUCAGAUAGUGCUAGAGAAACAAAACUAUCAUGCAAAAAAGUUAUGUGGAACAAGGAAUAACAAUUCUAAGUAAUGCUAUCAAGGCAUGUACUGAAGAAAUAGACCGUCACAAAGGAAAACUUGUAGUGAAGGAGGCACCGAGAGCUGUGAGUGAAAGAGAUGAUAAGCUACUUGCAGAACACAUGGCAAAACUACGAUCGGCUAAUGAGGAAGUUGAUGGUGACGAAGAUUCAGAAGAGGAGGAAGACACAGGAAUGGGAGAUGUGGAUUUGGACAAAUCAGGUGUUGGUAUAACAGAGUAAAAUCUGGCAAAUGGGUGAAGUUUUUAUGGAUGCAUAUCAUUUACCAUGCGCAAAUAGUCUGCCAUCAGGUCCUUCUUACAUCAAGCUAUCUAAAAUGGAAUGCUGCCUCCUGCCUCAGUUUUCUUAUAGAAUGCUGUCCAUAGAACUUUUUGCAGUUUCGUAGUUUUGUUAUUGUCUGAGAGUAUUUGUGGUACUAAAGUGAUACGGAAUGUGCAAGCUAAUGAGCUUUGGACUGUGUACAAUGAGUUUUUUGUUCUUCUUCCGGGUUGUGCAAGUGUGAUGAACUGUAAAAAAACUUCAAAUGCACUCUCUCCUUGGGCUUUUGUUACCUGCAUUAUGCUUUCAUGCUUCAAAUUGGCUGUCUUAUUUUCUCAGCAAAGUGUGCAAGACAUAUCGAGAAAUAACCCACAUGUUUCUCAACAAGAGAUAGGAAACAUGCUUUAUUUGA
RNA transcript from Elaeis guineensis (African oil palm), 1863 nucleotides. It is a transcript of the gene named eukaryotic translation initiation factor 2 subunit alpha homolog, with no coding region annotated. Lineage: Eukaryota; Viridiplantae; Streptophyta; Magnoliopsida; Arecales; Arecaceae. The record is from RefSeq and is a predicted model, not a curated record.